This 270-nucleotide long non-coding RNA is filed under the name Lupinus angustifolius (narrow-leaved blue lupine). Its description in RNAcentral is "long non-coding RNA (LANG_LNC002657)". Lineage: Eukaryota; Viridiplantae; Streptophyta; Magnoliopsida; Fabales; Fabaceae. The record is from RNAcentral.
CUCAUACCUCCUUACUUCCAUACCUUACCUUCUUUCACUUCAAUCACUUAUUCACAACUUCUUCACAUUUUCUUCUCAUCUUAAGACUUUUAAAUGGAGUAUCUUAAUCCAGGGCCAAUUGACACAUCACUACUUACAAUGCAAAAUGACCAUAUAUCAAAUGAUGUAUGGAAUGGCAUUGAAUGUAGUUUUCGACCGAGAUAUUGUUUCUGGCAAUCACUACCUUCCGAGCCGGUGUUACAAGUUAUUUGCACCACUGCUUUUGGUAAC